GUUGCUUGUUGGGCAGCUUGGCUUUGGCCAAUCAACCAUCCUUGCAAAAAAGGCAAUUCCCAGUAUGCUGGGUCACUAAAAGGGAAAAACUGAUUGUUUCUUUCUUCUGGCUGCACAUCAGUCUCCAUAGGAUCAACUAAACGUUGAGUACCUAUAUUCUCGUUUUCCCCAACAGAAGAACCUGUAUGAAUAAUGAACUUCUUGUGCAGGAGAUGCACUUUGCUCAACAGGGGACAAUAAAAGUUCAUACUGGCCGGAGAUUGAGUACCUAUAUUCUCAUUCUCCCCAACAGAAGAACCAGUAUGAGCUUCUUGUGCGGGAGAUGCACUUUGCUCAACAGGGGACAAUAAAAGUUCAUACUGGCCGGACGGAGUUGAAUAUGUGAGAAGGCGGACAGAUGAUGAAGUAUCUGUUCUGUGCUGUACAUUGUCGGUUACCAUAUCUAU
RNAcentral lists this long non-coding RNA (446 nucleotides) under Nicotiana benthamiana. RNAcentral's name for it is "long non-coding RNA (NBEN_LNC011749)". The record is from RNAcentral. Lineage: Eukaryota; Viridiplantae; Streptophyta; Magnoliopsida; Solanales; Solanaceae.